RNAcentral lists this ribosomal RNA (118 nucleotides) under Pteropus alecto (black flying fox). RNAcentral also lists the same sequence under 1 other name. The record is from RNAcentral. Lineage: Eukaryota; Metazoa; Chordata; Mammalia; Chiroptera; Pteropodidae.
GUCUACAGCCAUACCACCCUGAACAAGCCCGAUCCUUCUGAUUUCGGAAGCUAAGCAGGGUCGGGCCUGGUUAGUACUUAGAUGGGAGGCCACCUAGGAAGACCAGGUGCUGAAGGCG